Hypanus sabinus (Atlantic stingray) is the source of this 617-nucleotide long non-coding RNA. RefSeq lists it as uncharacterized. The transcript has 3 exons. Lineage: Eukaryota; Metazoa; Chordata; Chondrichthyes; Myliobatiformes; Dasyatidae. The record is from RefSeq and is a predicted model, not a curated record.
CCAUUCAAGGCGCGCAGAGAGGCGAUCACGCCAGCCGCAGGUUGAUUUGACACCCUGUGUGUGUGUGGAUUCGCUCGUCUCCGCCUGGGGAGGGUGGAGUCUCCGGCCGAGCAGUUAGUCCUGACGAAGGGUCUCGGCCUGAAAUGUCGACAGCGCUUCUCUCUAUAGAUGCUGCCUGGCCUGCUGUGUUCCACCAGCAUUUUAUCUGGUCUCUGAUUGGAUUCCUUAUUGGUUAUUGGUGGAUAUUUGAGGACAACAUCAAUUCAAGCAUUGGUUGAUGUUAAGGACAUUAGCAAACAAUAGGGUGUUAAUACAACAUUUACAGAACUCUGUAGGUGGGAAACAAAUGUUUAAAGAGGCUUUUUCAGCACUGGACUAGACAAGUCAAGAACUGUUGAAUAAUUAAAACACAAAAAUACAACUGCAGAUGCUGUGGAUCAAAGAAUAUGUGCACAACGGGGGAAGAACUCAGCAGGUCAGGCAGCAUCCGUGAGAAAAGAGUAGCCAACGUUUCGGGCCGAGACCCUUCAUCAGGAAUGGGGGGGGAAGAGAGGGCCGAAGUCCAGUAAUAGAGAUAGGGGAGGGGGAAGGGCUAGAGGCACCAGGUGGAAAACCAA